RNAcentral lists this ribosomal RNA (166 nucleotides) under Cryptosporidium sp. Its description in RNAcentral is "partial small subunit ribosomal RNA". It matches the Rfam family "Eukaryotic small subunit ribosomal RNA", at positions 477 to 643 of the family's 1831-position model. The record is from RNAcentral. Lineage: Eukaryota; Apicomplexa; Conoidasida; Eucoccidiorida; Cryptosporidiidae.
AUAACAAUACGGAUUUUUUGGGUCCUUGUAAUUGGAAGAGUUAAAUUUAAAUCCCUUUAACAAGGACAAAUGGAAGGGCAAGUCUGGUGCCAGCAGCCGCGGUAAUUCCAGCUCCAAUAGCGUAUAUUAAAGUUGUUGCAGUUAAAAAGCUCGUAGUUGGAUUCGG